GCCAGGUGUGGUGGUGCAUGCCUGUAGUCCCAGCUACUUGGGAGGCUGAGGUGGGAGUAUCACUUGAGCCCAGGAGGUCAAGGCUGCAGUGAGCCAAGAUUAUGCCACUGCACUCCAGCCUGGGUGACAGAGUAAGAUCCUGCCUCAA
This 148-nucleotide signal recognition particle RNA is filed under the name Chlorocebus sabaeus (green monkey). RNAcentral's name for it is "Metazoan signal recognition particle RNA". It matches the Rfam family "Metazoan signal recognition particle RNA". From Rfam's summary of the family: The signal recognition particle (SRP) is a universally conserved ribonucleoprotein. It is involved in the co-translational targeting of proteins to membranes. The eukaryotic SRP consists of a 300-nucleotide 7S RNA and six proteins: SRPs 72, 68, 54, 19, 14, and 9. Lineage: Eukaryota; Metazoa; Chordata; Mammalia; Primates; Cercopithecidae. The record is from Rfam by way of RNAcentral.